GUAUGUAAUUUUUAUGCCCCACCUACGAUAGUAGAGGGGCAUUAUGUUUUCUGGUCUGUGCGUCCGUUCGUUCGUUCGUUCGUCCGUCUGUCCCGCUUCAGGUUAAAGUUUUUGGUCGAGGUAGUUUUUGAUGAAGUUGAAGUCCAAUCGACUUCAAACUUGGUACACAUGUUCCCUAUGAUAUGAUCUUUCUAAUUUUAAUGCCAAAUUAGAGAUUUUACCCCAAUUUCACGGUCCACUGAACAUAGAAAAUGAUAGUGCGAGUGGGGCAUUCGUGUACUGAGGACACAUUCUUGUUUUGUAAUAUUUCAAAUCCCUGA
This 320-nucleotide long non-coding RNA is filed under the name Mytilus galloprovincialis (Mediterranean mussel). Lineage: Eukaryota; Metazoa; Mollusca; Bivalvia; Mytilida; Mytilidae. The record is from RNAcentral.